CGGGACUUAAUUUAAUUAGAAUAUUAGCUUUGGGGGUUAAGUGUAGGGGUUUAAUUCCUCUAGUUCCGA
Molecule: transfer RNA, 69 nt
Filed under: Scutiger ningshanensis (Ningshan alpine toad)
Lineage: Eukaryota; Metazoa; Chordata; Amphibia; Anura; Megophryidae
Description: tRNA-Pro
Rfam family: tRNA
About the family: Transfer RNA (tRNA) molecules are approximately 80 nucleotides in length. Their secondary structure includes four short double-helical elements and three loops (D, anti-codon, and T loops).
Source: RNAcentral